GGUGAAAAGCACCCCGGAAGGGGAGUGAAAUAGAACCUGAAACCGUGUGCUUACAAGUAGUCAGAGCCCGUUAAUGGGUGAUGGCGUGCCUUUUGUAGAAUGAACCGGCGAGUUACGAUUUGAUGCAAGGUUAAGCAGUAAAUGUGGAGCCGUAGCGAAAGCGAGUCUGAAUAGGGCGUUUAGUAUUUGGUCGUAGACCCGAAACCAGGUGAUCUACCCUUGGUCAGGUUGAAGUUCAGGUAACACUGAAUGGAGGACCGAACCGACUUACGUUGAAAAGUGAGCGGAUGAACUGAGGGUAGCGGAGAAAUUCCAAUCGAACCUGGAGAUAGCUGGUUCUCUCCGAAAUAGCUUUAGGGCUAGCCUCAAGUGAUGAUUAUUGGAGGUAGAGCACUGUUUGGACGAGGGGCCCCUCUCGGGUUACCGAAUUCAGACAAACUCCGAAUGCCAAUUAAUUUAACUUGGGAGUCAGAACAUGGGUGAUAAGGUCCGUGUUCGAAAGGGAAACAGCCCAGACCACCAGCUAAGGUCCCAAAAUAUAUGUUAAGUGGAAAAGGAUGUGGCGUUGCCCAGACAACUAGGAUGUUGGCUUAGAAGCAGCCAUCAUUUAAAGAGUGCGUAAUAGCUCACUAGUCGAGUGACACUGCGCCGAAAAUGUACCGGGGCUAAACAUAUUACCGAAGCUGUGGAUUGUCCUUUGGACAAUGGUAGGAGAGCGUUCUAAGGGCGUUGAAGCAUGAUCGUAAGGACAUGUGGAGCGCUUAGAAGUGAGAAUGCCGGUGUGAGUAGCGAAAGACGGGUGAGAAUCCCGUCCACCGAUUGACUAAGGUUUCCAGAGGAAGGCUCGUCCGCUCUGGGUUAGUCGGGUCCUAAGCUGAGGCCGACAGGCGUAGGCGAUGGAUAACAGGUUGAUAUUCCUGUACCACCUAUAAUCGUUUUAAUCGAUGGGGGGACGCAGUAGGAUAGGCGAAGCGUGCGAUUGGAUUGCACGUCUAAGCAGUAAGGCUGAGUAUUAGGCAAAUCCGGUACUCAUUAAGGCUGAGCUGUGAUGGGGAGAAGACAUUGUGUCUUCGAGUCGUUGAUUUCACACUGCCGAGAAAAGCCUCUAGAUAGAAAAUAGGUGCCCGUACCGCAAACCGACACAGGUAGUCAAGAUGAGAAUUCUAAGGUGAGCGAGCGAACUCUCGUUAAGGAACUCGGCAAAAUGACCCCGUAACUUCGGGAGAAGGGGUGCUCUUUAGGGUUAACGCCCAGAAGAGCCGCAGUGAAUAGGCCCAAGCGACUGUUUAUCAAAAACACAGGUCUCUGCUAAACCGUAAGGUGAUGUAUAGGGGCUGACGCCUGCCCGGUGCUGGAAGGUUAAGAGGAGUGGUUAGCUUCUGCGAAGCUACGAAUCGAAGCCCCAGUAAACGGCGGCCGUAACUAUAACGGUCCUAAGGUAGCGAAAUUCCUUGUCGGGUAAGUUCCGACCCGCACGAAAGGCGUAACGAUUUGGGCACUGUCUCAACGAGAGACUCGGUGAAAUCAUAGUACCUGUGAAGAUGCAGGUUACCCGCGACAGGACGGAAAGACCCCGUGGAGCUUUACUGUAGCCUGAUAUUGAAAUUCGGCACAGCUUGUACAGGAUAGGUAGGAGCCUUUGAAACGUGAGCGCUAGCUUACGUGGAGGCGCUGGUGGGAUACUACCCUAGCUGUGUUGGCUUUCUAACCCGCACCACUUAUCGUGGUGGGAGACAGUGUCAGGCGGGCAGUUUGACUGGGGCGGUCGCCUCCUAAAAGGUAACGGAGGCGCUCAAAGGUUCCCUCAGAAUGGUUGGAAAUCAUUCAUAGAGUGUAAAGGCAUAAGGGAGCUUGACUGCGAGACCUACAAGUCGAGCAGGGUCGAAAGACGGACUUAGUGAUCCGGUGGUUCCGCAUGGAAGGGCCAUCGCUCAACGGAUAAAAGCUACCCCG
This 1953-nucleotide ribosomal RNA is filed under the name Staphylococcus aureus. Its description in RNAcentral is "partial 23S ribosomal RNA". It matches the Rfam family "Bacterial large subunit ribosomal RNA", at positions 513 to 2470 of the family's 2925-position model. The record is from RNAcentral. Lineage: Bacteria; Bacillati; Bacillota; Bacilli; Caryophanales; Staphylococcaceae.